Chiroxiphia lanceolata (lance-tailed manakin) is the source of this 3567-nucleotide RNA transcript. It is a transcript of the gene named atherin-like, with no coding region annotated. The record is from RefSeq and is a predicted model, not a curated record. The transcript has 5 exons. Lineage: Eukaryota; Metazoa; Chordata; Aves; Passeriformes; Pipridae.
GGGCGGCAGCGUCCGGACGGGCCGGGGGGCGGAGAGCGGCGAGCGGCGAGCGGAGCCACCCAGGCGCCCCUGCCCUGGCUCCGGCCCCCACCCCGGUCAUGGCCGCCGAGCGCCCCCCGCGCGGCCCCCGCCCGCCCGGCACUGACCGAGCUCUCGAGGUGUACGCGCCCGCGCCGCCUCUGGAGGGUGGGAAGUGCCUUUGCUUCCAAGGCCAGGGAAGAAGGAACAGCAAUCUGAGAUUUUACAAGAUAAAUGCAACAGCAAGAAGUUACUAACAACGUUGGUUAUAAGCAAAGAGAAAACAGGUAGUAAAGCAAAAAGAAGAACCUCAAAGUUAUAAUAUGCCAGGUGGUUGUGAAACAUGUCUGUGCAUUUUCUGCCAAAAUGUUUGUUCUGGCUUUUGUGUUCAGUCACUGUUAAAUUAUAUAGUGUUUCAGUUACUGUGUACAUCCCUAAGUAUCCUUUUUUGUUGUUAACUCCAAAACAAGAAGGGUGUUUGUUAAAAUGGAUAUUUUUUUAAAGUAUAAAUUAAAAUUUAAUUUAGCAUGUCUUUAAUUUAAAUAGAAUUUAAAGCACAGCAUAGUCUAGGUUUUAGCGUUGUCAUUAUAAUAGUUUUUAACAACUUGUGAUAAAAAUUAUAGAGUUCGGAACUUAAUAGGAAAUGUAAAAAUAUCUGAAUUUUCAGAUCUUGAAUAAAAUUUGCCAGUCAAUGAAGUAAAUCUGUCAUGUAUAUGUACAAAUGGAAUAACUCAUAGUAUAUUUAAAUGUUGAUUGAAUUAGUUAGGUAAAGUGAGUGUAGGUAUUAAUUUAUCUUCAUUGUUCACUUUGUGUGAAUUCACUUCAGAAACUUAAGGACAGAGCAUUUGUCAUAUUCCUAAUUCAGCAUGGCCUAACUAUGACCAACAAGGUGAGGGGCAGUACACACCUCCUCUGGCCAAGCUCCAUCAGAAUGCACUGCAUGAGCUGCCUACUCAAGGUGACACUCCAGCAUGAGCUGCCAUUCAGAACUUGGAAACCCAACCAAUAUGGAUAAAAGUAUCAGCAGUAAUGUCUGUCUUUAGUUUUUGCAUUUCAGUAGUUCAGAUUUCACUGAAAAUUCUUUGGGAUCUUCAGCACAUGGAAGAUUAGAAUCAGUAAUUUAGUAUUAUAAUGAAGACUAAUUAAGGCCUUUCCAAGAUACCAGAAGGUGAUCAAGGGAAGCUCUCUUCUUCCUUUGCAAGUCUAGUCUGGUGCUAUCAGAUUAAAUGAAGCGCAACUCAUGGUUAAUGAAGUUUUUACUAUUCUAUUAAAAUAAAAUUUAGUCUCUUAAAAUGCUUCCCUUUCAUACACAAUUUCUGUCCAUACUUUGUCUAUUUUAGCAUAAUCAUAACCCAUAUUUAGCCCAGAAAAAUGUUUUUAGAUUUUACUAAUUUCAAAACAUUGUCAAGUAGACACACAAGUGUAUCUUCUCUAUGUAUUGACAGCCUCAUUCACAUGCCUAUAAGUUCAUCUAAGACUCUUUCCACUUAUGCACAGAAAACAAAUGACCUUUCAGGGAAAUACCUAUCAGUGUUUUAAUCAAUGCUGCUGCUUUUUGGUUAGGAUUAUUAAAAAUCUCAAACAUUAAUCUCCUAUGAGUGCAGAACGACAGUCAUUUUAGAUACUGGUUUCUUUGGAGUCCAGUCGAUUUGUAGGAGUACAUACUGGAGUGAUUAAUGAGAUUUCAGUAGCUUUUUGCAUAGCUUCCUACCUGAAGCAAAUAAAAUAAAAGUUAACAAACAAACAAAAACCCCAAACCAGCAAGGGCAAAUUAGUUGUGUGCCUUUCACUGCUUCCUGUAAAAUCUUACACUGACUCCUAAAGGUUUCAUUUUGCAUGAAAGCUAUUUAAGCAAGAGUUUUAGCAGAUGAAGAAGACAUUCCAAGAACUUGUGAACGUUCCUUAGGUUCUGCCUUAUAAAGUCUGUUAGGUGUGCUUGGCACAGGCUGAGUCUGACCCUGAUUUCCAAGCACGUGAACGGCCAAAAUAAAAUGCCAUUUCUGUAAUACUUUUUUCCCCUUUUUUUGAAAGUGUAUAUUAGGCACACAUCUGAAGAAACAAUAUUUUACUCCUUUAUUUUAAGUUUAGGUAGCAGUCACAAGAGAUUAGAUGCUGUUAAGUGUAAUGAAGCAUGAAGAUUACAAGAUAAAGGAACCAGAGGUUUUUCAGCUCAGUAGCAUCAUUCAGCACAUAAUGAUACAGAUUUUGUAUUUCAGACACAAAUGUCACCUUGGGGUUGAAAUCAUGCUGGAUGAAUCUGGGCGAACUUGUUUUAUAGUCAGCCACUGGAUCCCUUAGCUCAAGAAGAAGGAAGAAAGAUAAUGAUUCAAUUAACUAAAACUGCUGCUUUGAAAAAUGUGUUUUCCAGUGUAAAACUUAUUUUAUUCAUCCCGAAUUAUAUAUUGCUGAAAACUGUUAACUGUGAUUAAGGAGAAAUAAGUCUGAGGUUUUGGGAGCAUGGCAGGUUUUUCCUGCUGUAAGCUCCACAAUGAUAUUUUCCUAUACUAAUCCUAGAUGGUGUAUAUUUUCCUUUGUUUCUACCCAACUUUCCUUUUUAUUUGUAAUAUAUGUGUGAAAUGUUAAAAAAAUUAGUGCUUUAAGAGCAGUUAAGAUAUUACUACCUCAAAAACACAUCAUUGUUACAUACAGUUGUAUUUGUUUUGCUGAGUAGGUUCCAGCUCAGUUACAGAAGAAGUUACAGAUAAUGCAAAAAAACUGUCUUAGAGCAGCAGCUGUUGCUAUAGGCAGAUUGGCCAAAAGCCUGUCCCUAUAUUUCUUUACAUGGAAACAAAGGGAUAGAUGUAUGUAUUGUCUGAAUAGAGAACUAGUUGUUGUUGUGUGCCUGUGACAAAAAAUACAAUAGUAUUUUUUUGGAAAAGUAUACUUAUUUAUGGAUUUAAAAAAAUUGGAAUAUACCAUGUGUUAAGCUUGUAUUUGAUCAAGAUCAGUUGUUCUGGUAAUGUUCCUUCAGAGGUGAGAGUUCUAGUGACAGGGUAAAGAUACUUCUACAUCUGUGGAAUUUAAAGCCUGCUACUGUCGAGUUGCCAGGACCCUUAAAUGUGUGCUGAAGUGUCCUUCUCUCUUUUAGUAAAUCAAGAAUGUUUAUACUUACUGUCACAAGUAGUAGAAGAAUACCAACAAUUGCUUCUGUGUUUAGAAUUCUGUGGAGUCUGCUACCUGUGAGCAGACUCUGCUUAAAUUCUCUGAAACUACUAAUUGCUAACCUCAUUCUUUACAUACUUCAGCCUCCAACAGCCUGCUGAAACUUCUGUUACACCUUCUGGGAAUCUAUCUAUAGUAAUUUCUUUGUCUCCCCACAUGGCUCCAAGCCAGAAAUAUAUCCAUUUGCACAAAUGCUUCUUAACCUUGCUCAUGGUUUUUUUAAUUUUUUUUUCUUUCUGCUUCUCUGGUUGCUGGAUGCUUUUCUAGUAAAUUCAGUACUUGCCAUGUUUGCUGUGUAAUGGACUGGUGGUUACAAUGCAUUUUCUAAACUACUGUUUGUUUCAGUUUUAGUGCACUGAAUAAAAUUAUUUCUCUGUUGUCAUUUUA